RNAcentral lists this ribosomal RNA (164 nucleotides) under Nasturtium officinale. Its description in RNAcentral is "5.8S ribosomal RNA". It matches the Rfam family "5.8S ribosomal RNA". From Rfam's summary of the family: 5.8S ribosomal RNA (5.8S rRNA) is a component of the large subunit of the eukaryotic ribosome. The record is from RNAcentral. Lineage: Eukaryota; Viridiplantae; Streptophyta; Magnoliopsida; Brassicales; Brassicaceae.
AAAACGACUCUCGGCAACGGAUAUCUCGGCUCUCGCAUCGAUGAAGAACGUAGCGAAAUGCGAUACUUGGUGUGAAUUGCAGAAUCCCGUGAACCAUCGAGUCUUUGAACGCAAGUUGCGCCCCAAGCCUUCUGCCCGAGGGCACGUCURCCUGGGUGUCACGA